CGAUAAGGAGCAAUUUAUUUUAAAAAAUAAAUUAGGAUUAAUAAGAGGCAACAUCCAUACCGAAAACUAUGUAACCUAAACGGAAACGAUAAGCAAAGAAAACAACCGCCUUGCUCUCCGGGCAACAUCUGCCAAGUUUCAAUGCCAAAUUGCCAAUAUAAUCCCAUUUUGCUAAGCCGACAUUCUUCAUUUAUCAACAAAAGCUAGCCAAAUUUUAUCUCUGUUCACUCUGGUUUCAACGGUCUUCGAGACAACAUAAAUGGAAAAUUUUCCGUACACGAAAACGCCCGUGGUACAUUUUUCUCGGAUAAAUCGAAGCUUCCAAGUCCCGACGUUCAGAACCUGGAAAAAGGCUGUUUUCCAUCCACAUCUGAUCCGCCUUAAACCGGUGAGUGCGUUUCAUAUUGUCAUUAUACCAAUGUUCGUUCAUGAUAGAACGCUUUUGGAGCCAUACUAUACGCGCGCAAUUCGAGUACAUCCCAUGAACUGUUCGACUUUUCGUUACCCGCAUUUAGUUUACCAACAUACUUGCAAUAUUGCGCGACUUUGCUCUCACGAGGCAUAUAUUAAUAUGAAAACGCAGGUUUAAGCCCAUGCAGGGUCAACAUGUGUUAGUUGGGGUUAGGACGAUAAUUUUAUAUAUACAAUAUAAUCCCAUAUAUGUUUGUCCUUUACAAGUCUAAUGUCCACUUCAUGAACAAAAUACCCUGCUUUCAUGAUGAAACAUUUGGCCACAGGCAUAAACAGAGUCGUCCUACGUAUACUACACGCUAUAGUCUGAAAUUAUUGCCACAUGCAUGCUUCUGCGUUCAUCGACCACAAUUUUAUAGUAUAGCUACAGUGCAUGUAUGCUCAUAUUAUGUUAUUACCCGCGUACGUAACAUAUUUUGCUUGAAAGCAGCUACAUUUGCGCCCAUUCCUCGAUAUGGCCAGUCAAAUUGCCAGUCUCGCAGAAUACUCUCAUCUUAUAAUCUAACUCCUUGUGGUGAGGUAUAUUCAUGUUUUGUUUUGUUUUCCCCGUGAACCACAUUUGUAAGAUUGUACUGAUACCAUUAGUACCAUUUGCCUGAUACCGAAGAGGUAAAUAGACUUCAUUACUCUGUAACUCAAUUUAAGAUACCCUAAAACUGUAGCGCUAGCCAGCUAUACUUGUAAGCCAAUCUGAAGCAUGCAUAGCAAACAAUAUGACGCUAUACAUAAAUCUCUAGGUUAUAAUAUAUAUACAUGUACUGUACCAACUACUGUGAGUAGUGUAUGUCACCUAAUCAUAUAUCUCAAUCAGGAAUAAAUUUCCAAACAACCAGUCAACCACAUAACUUCAGCCACGACACCAUACUCCAUAGAUAUCUUAUAUACACUAGAUAUCUAUGCACGAUACGCGCGUAUGGAUCGUUAUCCAAGAUAUACAGAACACCAUGCACACGCAAUAUACAUACAUUAUGCCCCUACUAAACAAUAUCUCGCUAUAUGGUCUGCUCUCCAAACCCGGUGACCAUUAACCAAAUACUGCCUACAAAAGAUUGCACAACGCAAAAUCCCAAACUCCUGUAUAUAUAGACUAUAUAAGGUAUAACAUUACAAACUGGCAGAGGAAAUACUGCUAGUGAAAGAAUUUAAAGAUCGUCGGUUUCUCACUCGUUCAGGAAUGCUCAGUACAGAUUUUAAUUAACCCCACUGUAGAGGAAGCAUUUCUGC
Molecule: long non-coding RNA, 1695 nt
Filed under: Paramuricea clavata
Lineage: Eukaryota; Metazoa; Cnidaria; Anthozoa; Malacalcyonacea; Plexauridae
Source: RNAcentral